RNAcentral lists this ribosomal RNA (422 nucleotides) under Microsporidia sp. clade III. RNAcentral's name for it is "SSU rRNA". It matches the Rfam family "Eukaryotic small subunit ribosomal RNA", at positions 1341 to 1791 of the family's 1831-position model. The record is from RNAcentral. Lineage: Eukaryota; Fungi; Microsporidia.
CCUUAACCUGCUAACUAGUGGGCUGAGCGAGAGCUUGGCAGUACUUCUUAGAGGGACUGACUACGUUUAGUAGUCGGAAGUUUGAGGCAAUAACAGGUCUGUGAUGCCCUUAGAUGUUCUGGGCUGCACGCGCGCUACACUGACACAGUCAGCGAGUUAUUUACCUUGACCGAGAGGUCUGGGAAAUCUUGUGAAACUGUGUCGUGCUGGGGAUAGAUCAUUGCAAUUAUUGGUCUUGAACGAGGAAUUCCUAGUAAGCGCAAGUCAUCAGCUUGCGUUGAUUACGUCCCUGCCCUUUGUACACACCGCCCGUCGCUACUACCGAUUGAAUGGCUUAGUGAGGCCUUUGGACUGGGUGCUCUGGGCAACUAGAGCAUCUGGGAAAUUGGUCAAACUUGGUCAUUUAGAGGAAGUAAAAGUCG